This 504-nucleotide ribosomal RNA is filed under the name uncultured bacterium. RNAcentral's name for it is "bacterial SSU rRNA". It matches the Rfam family "Bacterial small subunit ribosomal RNA", at positions 8 to 518 of the family's 1533-position model. The record is from RNAcentral.
AGAGUUUGAUUAUGGCUCAGGACGAACGCUGGCGGCAUGCCUAACACAUGCAAGUCGAACGGAGAUUUCAGGAAGUUACUUCUGAAUUCUUAGUGGCGGACGGGUGAGUAACACGUGGGUAAUCUGCCUAUCACAUUGGGAUAACAGGGUGAAAACGCUGCUAAUACCGAAUAAGCCGACGGAGGUGGGAGCCUCUGCCGGAAAAGGAGCAAUCCGGUGAUAGAUGAGCCCGCGGCUGAUUAGCUAGUUGGUGGGGUAACGGCCCACCAAGGCGACGAUCAGUAGCCGGCCUGAGAGGGUGAACGGCCACACUGGAACUGAGAAACGGUCCAGACUCCUACGGGAGGCAGCAGUGGGGAAUCUUCCGCAAUGGGCGAAAGCCUGACGGGAAGCAAUGCCGCGUGAGUGACGAAGGCCUUCGGGUUGUAAAGCUCUGUCUUCAGGGACGAAACAAAUGACGGUACCUGAGGAGGAAGCCACGGCUAACUACGUGCCAGCCGCGGC